UACGGGGGGGGCAAGCGUUGUUCGGAAUUACUGGGCGUAAAGGGCUCGUAGGUGGCCAACUAAGUCAGACGUGAAAUCCCUCGGCUUAACCGGGGAACUGCGUCUGAUACUGGAUGGCUUGAGUUUGGGAGAGGGAUGCGGAAUUCCAGGUGUAGCGGUGAAAUGCGUAGAUAUCUGGAGGAACACCGGUGGCGAAGGCGGCAUCCUGGACCAACACUGACACUGAGGAGCGAAAGCCAGGGGAGCAAAUGGG
Molecule: ribosomal RNA, 253 nt
Filed under: uncultured bacterium
Lineage: Bacteria
Description: partial 16S ribosomal RNA
Rfam family: Bacterial small subunit ribosomal RNA
Source: RNAcentral